Molecule: long non-coding RNA, 1031 nt
Filed under: Setaria viridis
Lineage: Eukaryota; Viridiplantae; Streptophyta; Magnoliopsida; Poales; Poaceae
Description: long non-coding RNA (SVIR_LNC010189)
Source: RNAcentral
AACUAUACCAAAGCGACUGUUUCGGUCCCAGACUUCUUCAUGCGGGUCAAUUUGGUCCUUUGUCCUAUGUGUCAUGUCAUGUUGGCGCGCCACACCAGGAUCUAGUCAUUUCAGGUUUUUAAUUCAGUUAUGUACACAAGUAAAAUCCCGUUUCUACCCUCUACAUGCUGCAAAUAUCCUUCGUUCAUGUCUAUCUUGUGUCUUGCUUAUAUAAUCGAACUAUUAAAUGAUCCACUAAUGUUGUUAUGAACAUAUUUACAAUUAGAUGACUAAACGUUCCAUUCCAUACCUUCCGUGUAAUUUUUCAGUAGCCUACCCCCAUCCUCAAGUUGACAUAUACAUCGUUCAGGGACGAAUUGAGAAAGUUUAAGAGCAAAAAUAGCUAUUACACCUUAGUAUUAUAUGGGUAGCAUGAAAAUAAAGAAAUAGAAAAAAGAAAAGGGAAAACACACAUCCCACUUGCAAUUCACGCAUGAAUAUAAGCGAUCGAACAGAUAAAAUCUGCGUAGGUAUAAAAGAACUUACCUAUGUAACCAUCUCUGUUGUAUUAAGAAGGAAAAUGAUAUUACACACAUCUAUAAUGAAAACAAUUGAAAACCUUUCUCACCCAAAUUAGACCCACCGUACCCCUCAUGAAAACAAUUGAAAACCUUUCUCACCCAAAUUAGACCCACCGUACCCCUCAUGUUGGACCCACCUGUCAGGGUCAAGUGGCGCGGGAGGGGGUGUAGAUCCAUAGAAAUUGCGAGUUAGGGACUGUUUCUCAUAGGUGGGUCCAACGUGAGGGGUAUGAUGAGCCUAAAUUGGGUGAGAAAGAUUUUCAAUUAUUUUCUUUUUUAAAGUAUAUGUAUGAGUUUCGAUCCGUUCCCUAUCUACGUUGAGUUGAUAAUAUUUCACAUCUAUUAUCUUAAUACAAUAGUGUUAAAAGAAGUCACCACGUUCGCCGAGAGGGUCUAGAAAUUCCCACGUUAAUCUAAAAAAAGAAGAAUAUACACCAUUGGAUUUUAUGAUGAUCUAAUGGUCUACACUAG